GACGAACGCUGGCGGCGUGCUUAACACAUGCAAGUCGAACGGAAAGGCCCUGCUUGCAGGGUACUCGAGUGGCGAACGGGUGAGUAACACGUGGGUGAACUGCCCUGCACUUCGGGAUAAGCCUGGGAAACUGGGUCUAAUUCCGGAUAGGAGCCAUUUUUAGUGGGAUGGUUGGAAAGUUUUGUCGGUGUUGGAUGAGCUCGCGGCCUAUCAGCUUGUUGGUGGGGUAAUGGCCUACCAAGGCGGCGACGGGUAGCCGGCCUGAGAGGGUGGACGGCCACAUUGGGACUUAGAUACGGCCCAGACUCCUACUGGAGGCAGCAGGGGGGAAUAUUGCACAAUCGGCGCAAGCCGGAUGCAGCGACGCCGCGUGGGGGAUGACGGCCUUCGGGUUGUAAACUCCUUUCGCUAGGGACGAAGCUUUUUGUGACGGUACCUAGAUAAGAAGCACCGGCUAACUACGUG
RNAcentral lists this ribosomal RNA (465 nucleotides) under uncultured bacterium. Its description in RNAcentral is "partial 16S ribosomal RNA". It matches the Rfam family "Bacterial small subunit ribosomal RNA", at positions 28 to 507 of the family's 1533-position model. The record is from RNAcentral.